GGGAUUGCCCCAGUAACGGCGAGUGAAGCGGCAACAGCUCAAAUUUGAAAUCUGGCCCCCAGGGCCCGAGUUGUAAUUUGCAGAGGAUGCUUUUGGCGCGGUGCCUUCCGAGUUCCCUGGAACGGGACGCCAUAGAGGGUGAGAGCCCCGUCUGGUCGGACACCAAGCCAGUGUAAAGCUCCUUCGACGAGUCGAGUAGUUUGGGAAUGCUGCUCUAAAUGGGAGGUAUAUGUCUUCUAAAGCUAAAUACCGGCCAGAGACCGAUAGCGCACAAGUAGAGUGAUCGAAAGAUGAAAAGCACUUUGAAAAGAGGGUUAAACAGUACGUGAAAUUGUUGAAAGGGAAGCGUUUAUGACCAGACUUGUGCCCGGUGAAUCAUCCAGCGUUCUCGCUGGUGCACUUUGCCGGGCUCAGGCCAGCAUCAGUUCGUCGCGGGGGAUAAAAGCUUCGGGAACGUAGCUCCCUCGGGAGUGUUAUAGCCCGUUGCAUAAUACCCUGCGGUGGACUGAGGUUCGCGCUCCGCAAGGAUGCUGGCGUAAUGGUCAUCAGCGACCCGUCUUGAAACACGGACCAAGGAGUCGUCUUCGUAUGCGAGUGUUCGGGUGUAAAACCCCUACGCGUAAUGAAAGUGAACGCAGGUGAGAGCUUCGGCGCAUCAUCGACCGAUCCUGAUGUUCUCGGAUGGAUUUGAGUAAGAGCAUACGGGGCCGGACCCGAAAGAAGGUGAACUAUGCCUGUAUAGGGUGAAGCCAGAGGAAACUCUGGUGGAGGCUCGCAGCGGUUCUGACGUGCAAAUCGAUCGUCAAAUAUGGGCAUGGGGGCGAAAGACUAAUCGAACCUUCUAGUAGCUGGUUUCCGCCGAAGUUUCCCUCAGGAUAGCAGUGUUGAACUCAGUUUUAUGAGGUAAAGCGAAUGAUUAGGGACCCGGGGGCGCUCUUUAGCCUUCAUCCAUUCUCAAACUUUAAAUAUGUAAGAAGCCCUUGUUGCUUAAUUGAACGUGGGCAUUCGAAUGUAUCAACACUAGUGGGCCAUUUUUGGUAAGCAGAACUGGCGAUGCGGGAUGAACCGAACGCGAGGUUAAGGUGCCAGAGUAGACGCUCAUCAGACACCACAAAAGGCGUUAGUACAUCUUGACAGCAGGACGGUGGCCAUGGAAGUCGGAA
This 1163-nucleotide ribosomal RNA is filed under the name Tolypocladium album. RNAcentral describes it as "LSU rRNA". It matches the Rfam family "Eukaryotic large subunit ribosomal RNA", at positions 71 to 1266 of the family's 3401-position model. Lineage: Eukaryota; Fungi; Ascomycota; Sordariomycetes; Hypocreales; Ophiocordycipitaceae. The record is from RNAcentral.